GAUGAAGAACGUAGCGAAAUGCGAUAAGUAAUGUGAAUUGCAGAGUUCAGUGAAUCAUCGAAUCUUUGAACGCACAUUGCGCCCGCUAGUAUUCUGGCGGGCAUGCCUGUCCGAGCGUCAUUUCAACCCUCAAGCCCCCGGGCUUGGUGUUGGGGAUCGGCGAGCCUCCGCGCCCGCCGUCCCCUAAAUCUAGUGGCGGUCUCGCUGUAGCUUCCUCUGCGUAGUAGCACACCUCGCACUGGGAAACAGCGCGGCCACGCCGUUAAACCCCCAACUUCUGAACGUUUGACCUCGGAUCAGGUAGGAAUACCCGCUGAACUUAAGCAUGUCAAUAAGCGGAGGA
RNAcentral lists this unclassified non-coding RNA (343 nucleotides) under soil metagenome. RNAcentral describes it as "partial contains 5.8S ribosomal RNA, internal transcribed spacer 2, and large subunit ribosomal RNA". The stretch from base 1 to 120 matches the Rfam family "5.8S ribosomal RNA", at positions 35 to 154 of the family's 154-position model. The record is from RNAcentral.